UACGGAGGAUCCAAGCGUUAUCCGGAUUUAUUGGGUUUAAAGGGUGCGUAGGUGGCUUUUUAAGUCAGGGGUGAAAGACGGUAGCUUAACUAUCGCAGUGCCUUUGAUACUGAAGAGCUUGAAUGAACUAGAGGUAGGCGGAAUGUGACAAGUAGCGGUGAAAUGCAUAGAUAUGUCACAGAACGCCAAUUGCGAAGGCAGCUUACUAUGGUUUUAUUGACACUGAGGCACGAAAGCGUGGGGAUCAAACAG
RNAcentral lists this ribosomal RNA (252 nucleotides) under uncultured bacterium. Its description in RNAcentral is "partial 16S ribosomal RNA". It matches the Rfam family "Bacterial small subunit ribosomal RNA", at positions 524 to 775 of the family's 1533-position model. The record is from RNAcentral.